AGGCAAAUUCAAAUUCUGUCCCAGAAUGAAAAAACAGAGAAAACUGGAAACAAAUUUUUUAAAGUAACACAAGAGAAUUUCCCGUAACUAAAAGAGCUGAGUUUCCACACUGAAAAGGUCAGCCAAGUACUGAGCACAAUAGACCCUUCCUCUAGGAAAAAUACCACUAUGGCAUUUCAGAAUACUAGGGACUAAGAGAGCUACAUACUUAUAGAGAAAGAAAAACAGAUUCACAUAUAAAGGAAUAGGAAUGGCUUCAAAAACAACGAACACUAGAAGCAGAGCAAUGCCUUUAGCUAGCCAAACAAUUCCAAAUAAGGGUACAAUAAGGGUUUUUCCAAGUAUGUUAGGCCUCAAAUAAACUUUCCCUGCACAUUCUCUCAAGAAGCUACAAAAAGGAAAAGACUUACUAUGUAGGGAACAGCUCUAUGAACAUCUUUAUAACAAGUACAACAAAAUGUUCCAAAAUACCUUCGACAUCUUCCCAAGUCAAUCCACAUAUGUCUACCAAUCUUCAUCCACUGGGUGUCUUGGAACAUAUCCUCCACAGAUAAGGAGGGACUACCAUAUCUGUGAUUACCUGACCAGUCCCCUGCUAGACAUGUAAGUCAUCUUCAAUUUCCUCUAAGUAUAGCAUUGCAGAAAACCUUUUGAAAGUAUUUGCAUGCUGAAGAGAGGGAGAAAGUUGUUUCCAACUCCCUUCUCAGUAUAUACUUACUUAUAAAUAAAAUAUUAAAUGAUACCUAAAAUUCAAGGGAAUUUGUAUUAACUUUCCUUUGAGAAUCUAGAAAGAACUUCGUAUUCCCUCUGCUGGGCUACCCCAGACCAAGGUUAGGAAUCACUCUCUAAGAUUAAUAUCUCAUAGAAAAUUAGGGGUUGUGUUAUGCUUCCAAGUUGCUCCUAAUUUGUGUCAUGCUUUCCAAUACGCUUGGCUUUAUGUUCCCUAUGUUAAGUGGUUAUUUUCUGAUAACUUCAACUCAUGAACAAAAUUUCAUAAUACAAUGAAAAUGAGUAAAUUUUAAAAAUAAUUCUGUUAAGUUCACUUUUAUAGGCAUGAACAAAAAUGUAUAUUAAGGGGCUAUACCCUUUAAGCCUUCAAGGCAGCUCUGGAGUGCUUGGAAUGUUCCAUUUUUUGGAUCAUGAUAUAUUCAUUUUGUGAAAUUUCACUUAUGAUUUUAUCUUUUCUGUUUCAAAAUACAUUUACUAAAAGUAAGUCUCCAUUAUUUGAUUCUCAUAUUUUUAAUUUCACACUGAUUCAAUGACAAAUUAUUCAGUAACAGUGGCCCAGAUGGUUGACAAUUCCGAGUAAUCAUGUUGGUAACAUAUUACCAUACUGUAAUACUGUCAAUAUUAAAAAGCUCUGAAUAACAAAUGAGAUAUUUAAAAGUUUAUUUUGGUGUUUUCUCUUAGAGUUCAAGGGCAGGGAUUUUUUUAAUUGACAAAUAAUAAUUGUACAUAUUCAUGGGGUUACUGUGUUUCAAUACAUGUGCAAUCGAAAUGUGUUUAAAUACAUAUCAUGUAGUGAUGAGAUCAAGGUAAUUAGCAUAUCAAUCUCAAACAUUUAUCAUUUGUGUUGGAAAAACGUUUAAUAUCCUCCUUCUGGCUACUCGAAACUACUUACUAUUGUUAACCAGUCAUCCUACAGGGCUACACAACGCCAGGACUUAAUCUUCCUAUCCAGUUUUAAUUAUGUAUCCUUUAACAAAUCUCUUCCUAUCCUCCCAAGUUCUCCCUACCCCUCUCAGCCUUCAGUAGCCUCUGUUCUACUUUUGACUUCUAUGACAUCAACUUUCUUUUGCUUCCACAUGUGUGAAAACAUAAGAUGUUUAUCUUUCUGUUCUUGGCUUAUUUCACUUAACAUGACUUCCAGUUCCAUCGAUGUUGCUGCAAAUGACAGGAUUUCAUUCUUUUUUAUGGCUAACCACAUUUUCUUUAUCCAGUCAUCUGUUGUUGGACACCUAGGUUGAUUCUGUAUCUUGGUUACUGUGAACAGUGCUACAGUAAACAUUAGGGUACAGAUAUCUCUUCAAUAUAAUGAUGUCUUUUCCUUUCAAUACAUACCUGAUAGGGGGAUUGCUGGAUCAUAUCGUUGUUCUGUUUUUAGUUUUUCGAGGAACCUCCAUACUGUUUUCCAUAGUGGAUAUACUAGUUUAAAUUCUAACCAACAGUAUAUAAAGAGUUCCCUUUUCUGAGUAUCCUUGCCAGUAUUCGUUAUUUCUUCCUCUUUUAUGUAAGUCAUCCUAACUGAGUGAGACACCUCACUGCUGUUUUGAUUUGCAUUUCCCCAAUGAUUAGUGAUGUUGAGCAUUUUUUCAUAUAUUUAUUGGCCAUUUGUAUGUUUUGAGAAAUGUCUGUUCAGAUCAUCUGCCCAUUUGUUAGUAAGAUCUGUUUUUUUCUGUUGGGAUGACUGAGUUCCUUGUACAUUUUGGACAUUUAAUUCCCUAUCAAAUAAGUAGUUAGCAAAUAUUUUCUCCCAUUCUGUAGGAUGUCUUCACUGUUGUUUCCCUUGCUAUGGAGAACUGUUUUAAUUUGAUGUAACCCCAUUUGUUUAUUCUUGCUUGUGCUUUUGAGGUCUUAUUUGUAAAAUCUUUUCCCAGUCAAUGUCUGGAAUUAUUUCCUCUAUGGUUUUUUUCUAGUAGUUUUAUCAUUUCAGGUCAUAUAUGUAGGUCUUUGAUCUAUUUUGAGUUGAUUUUCAGAUAGGCUAAGAGGUGGGGUUCUAAUUUCAUUUCUUCUGCAUAUAGAUUUCCAGUUUUCCCAGCAUCAUUUAUUGAAGAGACUGUUCUUGCCACAGUGAGUGUUCUUGGCACCUUUGUCAAAAUAAGUUGCCUAUAGAUAUAUGGAUUAAUUUCUGAGUUCCCUAUUCUGUUCCUUUGGUCUAUGUGUCUGUUUUUAUGCCAGUACCGUACUGUUUUAGUUACUACAGCUCUCUAGCAUAUUUUGAAGUCUGGUACUACGAUACGUCCAGCUUUGUUCUUUUUGCUUAGGAUUGCUUUGGCUAUUUUAAGUCUUUUUUGGUUUCACAAAAAUUUUAGGAUUUUUUUUUUUUUUUUUUGAAACAGGGUCUUGUUCUGUUGCCUGGGCUGGAGUGCAGUAGCGGUCAUAGCUCACUGUAACCUCAAACUCCUGGAUCAAGUGAUCCCCACACCUUAGUCUCCCAAGUAGCUUGGACUAUAGGUGCACGACACCACACCUGGCUAGUUCUUGCAUUUUUUUGUAGAGAGAUCUCACUAUGACAGUCUCAAACUCCUGGCCUCAAGUGAUCUCCUGCCUUGGUUUUCUAAAGUGGUGGGAUUACAGGCGUGAGCCACCUUGCCUAUCCAGAUUUUUUUCUUCCAGUGACAUUCUGUUUUGAAUGUCACUCGUAUUUUGAUACAGAUUGCACUGAAUCUGUAGAUUGCUUUGGAGAGUACUGCCACUUUAACAAUAUUAAUUAUUCUGAUCCAUGAGCUUGGGAUGUCUUUCCCUUUGUAUCCUGUUCAGUUUCUUUCAUCAGUAUCUUAUAAUCUUCCUUAUGGGGGUCUUUCACUUGUUUGGUUAAAUUUAAUUCUUAGUUAUCUUAUUUAUUUGGCACUAUUGUAAAUGGGAUUGCUUUCUUGAUUUCUUUUUCAGCUAGUUCACUGUGUACAGAAACACUAUUGUUUUGGAUAUUUAAUAUCCUGUAAUUUUCCUGAAUCAGUUUAGCAGUUCUUUUUUUUUGAGACAGAGUCUUGCUGUCACCCAGGGUGGAGUGCGAUGGCACAAUCUCGGUUCACUGCAACCUCCACUUCCUGGAUUCAAGCAAUUCUUGUGCCUCAGCCACCUAACUAGCUGGGAUGAAAGGCAUGCACCACCACCCCUGGCUAAUU
Molecule: long non-coding RNA, 3845 nt
Filed under: Homo sapiens (human)
Lineage: Eukaryota; Metazoa; Chordata; Mammalia; Primates; Hominidae
Description: HSALNT0095846
Source: RNAcentral